ACGCUGGCGGCGUGCUUAACACAUGCAAGUCGAACGGAAAGGCCCUGCUUUUGUGGGGUGCUCGAGUGGCGAACGGGUGAGUAACGCGUGAGUAACCUGCCCUUGACUUUGGGAUAACUUCAGGAAACUGGGGCUAAUACCGGAUAGGAGCUCCUGCUGCAUGGUGGGGGUUGGAAAGUUUCGGCGGUUGGGGAUGGACUCGCGGCUUAUCAGCUUGUUGGUGGGGUAGUGGCUUACCAAGGCUUUGACGGGUAGCCGGCCUGAGAGGGUGACCGGCCACAUUGGGACUGAGAUACGGCCCAGACUCCUACGGGAGGCAGCAGUAGGGAAUAUUGCACAAUGGGCGGAAGCCUGAUGCAGCAACGCCGCGUGCGGGAUGACGGCCUUCGGGUUGUAAACCGCUUUCGCCUGUGACGAAGCGUGAGUGACGGUAAUGGGUAAAGAAGCACCGGCUAACUACGUGCCAGCAGCCGCGGUGAUACGUAGGGUGCGAGCGUUGUCCGGAUUUAUUGGGCGUAAAGGGCUCGUAGGUGGUUGAUCGCGUCGGAAGUGUAAUCUUGGGGCUUAACCCUGAGCGUGCUUUCGAUACGGGUUGACUUGAGGAAGGUAGGGGAGAAUGGAAUUCCUGGUGGAGCGGUGGAAUGCGCAGAUAUCAGGAGGAACACCAGUGGCGAAGGCGGUUCUCUGGGCCUUUCCUGACGCUGAGGAGCGAAAGCGUGGGGAGCGAACAGGCUUAGAUACCCUGGUAGUCCACGCUGUAAACGGUGGGUACUAGGUGUGGGGUCCAUUCCACGGGUUCCGUGCCGUAGCUAACGCUUUAAGUACCCCGCCUGGGGAGUACGGCCGCAAGGCUAAAACUCAAAGGAAUUGACGGGGCCCCGCACAAGCGGCGGAGCAUGCGGAUUAAUUCGAUGCAACGCGUAGAACCUUACCUGGGUUUGACAUGGAUCGGGAGUGCUCAGAGAUGGGUGUGCCUCUUUUGGGGUCGGUUCACAGGUGGUGCAUGGCUGUCGUCAGCUCGUGUCGUGAGAUGUUGGGUUAAGUCCCGCAACGAGCGCAACCCUUGUUCACUGUUGCCAGCACGUUAUGGUGGGGACUCAGUGGAGACCGCCGGGGUCAACUCGGAGGAAGGUGGGGAUGACGUCAAGUCAUCAUGCCCCUUAUGUCCAGGGCUUCACGCAUGCUACAAUGGCUGGUACAGAGAGUGGCGAGCCUGUGAGGGUGAGCGAAUCUCGGAAAGCCGGUCUCAGUUCGGAUUGGGGUCUGCAACUCGACCUCAUGAAGUCGGAGUCGCUAGUAAUCGCAGAUCAGCAACGCUGCGGUGAAUACGUUCCCGGG
Molecule: ribosomal RNA, 1338 nt
Filed under: uncultured bacterium
Lineage: Bacteria
Description: 16S ribosomal RNA
Rfam family: Bacterial small subunit ribosomal RNA
Source: RNAcentral